CCUACGGGAGGCUGCAGUGGGGAAUAUUGCACAAUGGGGGAAACCCUGAUGCAGCGACGCCGCGUGAGUGAAGGAGUAUUUCUGUAUGUAAAGCUCUAUCAGCAGGGAAGAAAAUGACGGUACCUGUUCAAGAAGCCCCGGCUAACUACGUGCCAGCAUCCGCGGUAAUACGUAGGGGGCAAGCGUUCUCCGGAUUUACUGGGUGUAAAGGGGGCGUAGACGGCAUCCCAAGUCUGGAGUGAAAUGCCGGGGCUUAACCCCGGAACUGCUUUGGAAACUGUGCGGCUUGAGUGCAGGAGAGGUAGGUGGAAUGCCUAGUGUAGCGGUGAAAUGCGUAGAUAUUAGGAGGAACACCAGUGGCGAAGGCGGCUUACUGGACUGUAACUGACGUUGAGGCUCGAAAGCGUGGGGAGCAAACAGGAUUAGAUACCCUAGUAGUC
Molecule: ribosomal RNA, 440 nt
Filed under: uncultured bacterium
Lineage: Bacteria
Description: partial 16S ribosomal RNA
Rfam family: Bacterial small subunit ribosomal RNA
Source: RNAcentral